This 446-nucleotide ribosomal RNA is filed under the name uncultured bacterium. RNAcentral describes it as "bacterial SSU rRNA". It matches the Rfam family "Bacterial small subunit ribosomal RNA", at positions 29 to 522 of the family's 1533-position model. The record is from RNAcentral.
AACGAACGCUGGCGGCAGGCCUAACACAUGCAAGUCGAGCGCCCCGCAAGGGGAGCGGCGGACGGGUGAGUAACGCGUGGGAAUUUUUCCUGGAGUACGGAACAACCGAGGGAAACUUCGGCUAAUACCGUAUGAUGUCUAGCGACCAAAGAUUUAUCGCUCUGGGGUAAGCCCGCGUCAGAUUAGGUAGUUGGUGGGGUAACGGCCUACCAAGCCUGCGAUCUGUAGCUGGUCUGAGAGGACGAUCAGCCACACUGGGACUGAGACACGGCCCAGACUCCUACGGGAGGCAGCAGUGGGGAAUCUUGCGCAAUGGGCGAAAGCCUGACGCAGCCAUGCCGCGUGAGUGAAGAAGGUCUUAGGAUUGUAAAGCUCUUUCGCUCGUGACGAUGAUGACGGUAACGAGAGAAGAAGCCCCGGCUAACUUCGUGCCAACAGCAGCCGCU